CAGCCGCCGCGGUAAUACGUAUGUCCCAAGCGUUAUCCGGAUUUAUUGGGCGUAAAGCGCGUCUAGGUGGUUAUGUAAGUCUGAUGUGAAAAUGCAGGGCUCAACUCUGUAUUGCGUUGGAAACUGUGUAACUAGAGUACUGGAGAGGUAAGCGGAACUACAAGUGUAGAGGUGAAAUUCGUAGAUAUUUGUAGGAAUGCCGAUGGGGAAGCCAGCUUACUGGACAGAUACUGACGCUGAAGCGCGAAAGCGUGGGUAGCAAACAGGAUUAGAUACCCCUGUAGUCCCUGUCUCUUAUACA
Molecule: ribosomal RNA, 301 nt
Filed under: uncultured bacterium
Lineage: Bacteria
Description: partial 16S ribosomal RNA
Rfam family: Bacterial small subunit ribosomal RNA
Source: RNAcentral